RNAcentral lists this long non-coding RNA (494 nucleotides) under Hordeum vulgare. RNAcentral's name for it is "long non-coding RNA (HVUL_LNC011154)". Lineage: Eukaryota; Viridiplantae; Streptophyta; Magnoliopsida; Poales; Poaceae. The record is from RNAcentral.
GCGGGGCCGGCGAGGCGUUGGACCUCGAGCUGCGACUGUAGCUAGCGUCGGCUAGCUGCUGCCAUAUCGCGCAGGUAAUGUCAUUUCGGGACCAUACUUCUUUUCCCCUCCUCCCAGCGUAAGCCUGUGCAUCUGUGUGCUAGAGUAGAAAUGCACUUCGGUCUAGACUGAGAUUUCCCCGACGAUCCUGCUGCAGUGAUCUUUCAACUUGUGUACUAGCAAUCUUGACGGACAAAGCGUGCCCAGAUGCUGAAGAUGGUGGAGAGGGGGGGUAUCAGAUGCGCAACAGGCAAUGGAUGAACUUCUGGAAGGAUACUAUCUUCUAGCGGUUUCUGGAUUGUAAUAUGCACAUGUUUACCGCUUAUUCUUCACCUUCCUUGCUGCGUGUUUUGCUAUGACGAACUCCGUUUUUACGGUUUCAUGCGCAAGUUGCCCAUGCACGCACUGUAUUUAUGCUCGUCUAUCUUCCUCAGAGUCUCCAAAAUAUGUGCCGU